RNAcentral lists this ribosomal RNA (301 nucleotides) under uncultured bacterium. RNAcentral describes it as "partial 16S ribosomal RNA". It matches the Rfam family "Bacterial small subunit ribosomal RNA", at positions 509 to 808 of the family's 1533-position model. The record is from RNAcentral.
CAGCAGCCGCGGUAAUACGUAGGUCCCGAGCGUUGUCCGGAUUUAUUGGGCGUAAAGCGAGCGCAGGCGGUUAGAUAAGUCUGAAGUUAAAGGCUGUGGCUUAACCAUAGUACGCUUUGGAAACUGUUUAACUUGAGUGCAAGAGGGGAGAGUGGAAUUCCAUGUGUAGCGGUGAAAUGCGUAGAUAUAUGGAGGAACACCGGUGGCGAAAGCGGCUCUCUGGCUUGUAACUGACGCUGAGGCUCGAAAGCGUGGGGAGCAAACAGGAUUAGAUACCCCUGUAGUCCCUGUCUCUUAUACA